Molecule: ribosomal RNA, 253 nt
Filed under: uncultured bacterium
Lineage: Bacteria
Description: partial 16S ribosomal RNA
Rfam family: Bacterial small subunit ribosomal RNA
Source: RNAcentral
UACGUAGGGUGCGAGCGUUAAUCGGAAUUACUGGGCGUAAAGCGUGCGCAGGCGGUGCACCAAGCUCGAUGUGAAAGCCCCGGGCUUAACCUGGGAAUUGCAUUGAGGACUGGUGUGCUCGAGUGCGGCAGAGGGGGGUGGAAUUCCACGUGUAGCAGUGAAAUGCGUAGAGAUGUGGAGGAACACCGAUGGCGAAGGCAGCCCCCUGGGCCGACACUGGCGCUCAUGCACGAAAGCGUGGGGAGCAAACAGG